Benincasa hispida (wax gourd) is the source of this 1628-nucleotide non-coding RNA. Lineage: Eukaryota; Viridiplantae; Streptophyta; Magnoliopsida; Cucurbitales; Cucurbitaceae. The record is from RefSeq and is a predicted model, not a curated record.
AACAAAAGAUAUCAAAUGGCGUAAAUGAUAUGUUUGAGAAAGGAGUAGCAGAGGUAGAGCACAUUUAGCAGCAGCACGAGAAGAGAAGAACGACGAGCAGAGAGAGAGCAAUCAUGGAUUUUGCUCGUCUCACUGAGGCUUUGGCUUCCAAGUCUUACGAUAAGAUCGCUGAUAUCUGUGACGAUCUCAUGCUUCAGGCUGCAGCGGAGGGCAUUGCUUAUCAGGAUGAAUGGCCUUAUGCCAUCCACUUUCUUGGCUACCUUUACGUUGAUGACAUCAAUAGUGCUCGAUUUCUCUGGAAAUCAAUACCUUCCACUAUUAAAGAAAACCGACCAGAACUGGCUGCUGUUUGGAAAAUUGGCCAAAAGCUAUGGAUUCGGGACCAUGGGGGUGUAUAUGAGGCUAUUCUUGAAUUUGAUUGGUGCCAAGAAGUUCAAGGCCUAUUAGCUGCAUUUUCAGAUCUUUACAGAAGGAGAAUGUUUCAGUUGCUGGUGUCUGCUUAUUCUACUAUAAGCAUCCAUGACACAGCAAAGUUCUUAGGAAUGAAUGAGGAAGAAGCAAAAGUUUAUAGCAAUUCGGGAAAGAGCUCGAGGACCAUGGUGGUGAUUUAUGGACUGGACCUUGGUGGUGAUUUUAUUGUUUGUAGACUGAUUCAUAAAAGAUUGUUGGGUAGAACCAAUACAAGAAGUUGAAGAAAUUAAAUGAAAAGUCAUCUACAAUCUGGCUAUGGUGGGGACCUUUAAUGAGAAACAACCUUUUACUUGGUCCAACAUAAGAUGUAAUGCCGAUUGAUCCUUAUUGAUUUUUUAGUGUCAGAAAAUUGGAUGAACAAGUUUUCUGAUGCCAUUGAAAGAAGUUUUAGAAAAUUUCAUUGGUAUGGAAAUAGAGGCUGCAACACUUCACACCUCCUUCGAUGGCAUAUCCUUAGAUGUCCUUCGGAUGAGAGAGGUCUUGGCAUCAUUGACAUCAGUCUUCAUAACAAAGCUCUCUUGGCGAAGUGGAUUUGGCAUUUUAGACGAGAAAAAGGGGCACUUUGAAGAAAAUUAAUCAAGGAUAAAUCACCGGAGUUUUGCUAGAAGCCUAGCUAUUGGUUGGAAAAAGAUUUCAUCAAGAAGACUAGCUGUUUCUCACUGAAAGGGCAUCAGAGACAUCCAUCCACCUAUUCAGUAAUUGUUGCUCCUAUGCUAUAGUCUUUUGGAACUUCGCCACUGCUGCUGCUUUUGGUUGGUUUGUGGUGCCGCCGAGAGACACCCUCUCCCUCCUAUCACUUACUUUCACUCGCCACCCUUUCAACAAGGAGAAAAGGAUUAUAGGCUCAAUAUAAAUUGGGCUUUAUUGUUGUUCUUUGUGGCUAGUGAUAACCUCUCGUAUCUUCUCUGGAAAUGAGGCAAGGAGCAGAGCACCGCAUCUCUUAUUGGCUUUAUGAAUUUUUUACCUCUUCAAUGGUGUAAAUUGUCUCUACCUUUUUUUCAACAAUUGUGGGGUGGGGUCCAAAUUAUCCGCCUUUGGGAUGAUAACUUGGUAAUUCUAAUUGUAAAGCAUCACCUAUUAUUGUUUUUGUUGGCUUGUUUAAAAAUUCUUGGAACAUUCUAUUAAAUGACUUUGUGCAUAGUUCAUGAAUUUUUUUA